GACGAACGCUGGCGGCGUGCUUUACACAUGCAAGUCGAACGGUGAAGCGCCUUCGGGUGUGGAUCAGUGGCGAACGGGUGAGUAACACGUGAGCAACCUGCCCCCCUCUUUGGGAUAAGCCUUGGAAACGGGGUCUAAUACCGGAUAUGAGCGCCUGCUGCAUGGUGGGUGUUGGAAAGAUUUUUUCGGUGGGGGAUGGGCUCGCGGCCUAUCAGCUUGUUGGUGGGGUGAUGGCCUACCAAGGCGAUGACGGGUAGCCGGCCUGAGAGGGCGACCGGCCACACUGGGACUGAGAUACGGCCCAGACUCCUACGGGAGGCAGCAGUGGGGAAUAUUGCACAAUGGGCGCAAGCCUGAUGCAGCGACGCCGCGUGGAGGAUGACGGCCUUCGGGUUGUAAACUCCUUUCAGUAAGGAAGAAGCGAAAGUGACGGUACUUGCAGAAGAAGCGCCGGCUAACUACGUGCCAGCAGCCGCGGUAAUACGUAGGGCGCAAGCGUUGUCCGGAAUUAUUGGGCGUAAAGAGCUCGUAGGCGGUUAGUCGCGUCUGGUGUGAAAUUCCGAGGCUCAACUUCGGGCUUGCAUCGGGUACGGGCUAGCUAGAGUGCUGUAGGGGAGACUGGAAUUCCUGGUGUAGCGGUGGAAUGCGCAGAUAUCAGGAGGAACACCGAUGGCGAAGGCAGGUCUCUGGGCAGUUACUGACGCUGAGGAGCGAAAGCAUGGGGAGCGAACAGGAUUAGAUACCCUGGUAGUCCAUGCCGUAAACGUUGGGCACUAGAUGUGGGGGCCAUUCCACGGUUUCUGCGUCGCAGCUAACGCAUUAAGUGCCCCGCCUGGGGAGUACGGCCGCAAGGCUAAAAACUCAAAGGAAUUGACGGGGGCCCGCACAAGCGGCGGAGCAUGCGGAUUAAUUCGAUGCAACGCGAAGAACCUUACCAAGGCUUGACAUACACCGGGUAAAAGUGCAGA
Molecule: ribosomal RNA, 968 nt
Filed under: uncultured Actinomycetes bacterium
Lineage: Bacteria; Bacillati; Actinomycetota; Actinomycetes
Description: bacterial SSU rRNA
Rfam family: Bacterial small subunit ribosomal RNA
Source: RNAcentral